CCUACGGGAGGCAGCAGUAGGGAAUAUUGCACAAUGGGGGCAACCCUGAUGCAGCAACGCCGCGUGUAUGAUGAAGGUUUUCGGAUUGUAAACUCCUUUUGUUGGGGAAGAUGAUGACGAUGUCUAACGCAUAAGCACCGGCUAACACCGUGCCAGCAGCCGCGGUCAUACGGAGGGUGCAAGCGUUAGUCGGAAUCACUGGGCGUAAAGCGCGCGUAGGCGGGAUAGCAAGUCAGAUGUGAAAUCCUAUGGCUUAACCAUAGAACUGCAUUUGAAACUGGCAUUCUAGAGUAUUGGAGAGGGAGGUAGAAUUCCUGGUGUAGGGGUAAAAUCCGUAGAGAUCUAGAGGAAUACUCAUUGCGAAGGCGACCUCCUAGAACAUAACUGACGCUGAUGUGCGAAAGCGUGGGGAGCAAACAGGAUUAGAUACCCUUGUAGUC
Molecule: ribosomal RNA, 440 nt
Filed under: uncultured bacterium
Lineage: Bacteria
Description: partial 16S ribosomal RNA
Rfam family: Bacterial small subunit ribosomal RNA
Source: RNAcentral